GAGUUUGAUCGUGGCUCAGAUUGAACGCUGGCGGCGUGCCUAACACAUGCAAGUCGAGCGGUAACAGGUGUAGCAAUACAUGCUGACGAGCGGCGGACGGGUGAGUAACGCUUGGGAAGUCUGCCUGAUAGUGGGGGGACGAAACCCGGGGAAACGUACGGGCUAAUACCGCAUACGCACUACGGUGGAAAGCCGGGGACCGCAAGGCCUGGCGCUAACAGAUGAGCCCAAGUCGGAUUAGCUAGUUGGUAGGGGUAAUGGCCUACCAAGGCGACGAUCCGUAGCUGGUCUGAGAGGAUGAUCAGCCACACUGGGACUGAGACACGGCCCAGACUCCUACGGGAGGCAGCAGUGGGGAAUUUUGGACAAUGGGGGGCAACCCUGAUCCAGCCAUGCCGCGUGAGUGAAGAAGGCCUUCGGUU
RNAcentral lists this ribosomal RNA (422 nucleotides) under uncultured Gammaproteobacteria bacterium. RNAcentral describes it as "bacterial SSU rRNA". It matches the Rfam family "Bacterial small subunit ribosomal RNA", at positions 9 to 423 of the family's 1533-position model. Lineage: Bacteria; Pseudomonadati; Pseudomonadota; Gammaproteobacteria. The record is from RNAcentral.